AGUCGCCGCGGGAAUACGAAGGGGGCUAGCGUUGUUCGGACUAACUGGGCGUAAAGGGCGCGUAGGCGGGUUUUUAAGUCAGAGGUGAAAUCCCAAGGCUCAACCUUGGAACUGCCUUUGAUACUGGAAGUCUUGAGUCCGGGAGAGGUGAGUGGAACUGCGAGUGUAGAGGUGAAAUUCGUAGAUAUUCGGAGGAACACCAGUGGCGAAGGCGGCUCACUGGUCCAUUACUGACGCUGAGGUGCGAAGGCGUGGGGAGCAAACAGGAUUAGAUACCCGCGUAGUCCCUGUCUCUUAUACA
This 301-nucleotide ribosomal RNA is filed under the name uncultured bacterium. RNAcentral describes it as "partial 16S ribosomal RNA". It matches the Rfam family "Bacterial small subunit ribosomal RNA", at positions 510 to 808 of the family's 1533-position model. The record is from RNAcentral.